This 249-nucleotide ribosomal RNA is filed under the name uncultured bacterium. RNAcentral's name for it is "partial 16S ribosomal RNA". It matches the Rfam family "Bacterial small subunit ribosomal RNA", at positions 42 to 305 of the family's 1533-position model. The record is from RNAcentral.
GCAGGCCUAACACAUGCAAGUCGAGCGCUACCUUCGGGUGGAGCGGCGGACGGGUUAGUAACGCGUGGGAACGUACCCAGUAGCGGGGGAUAGCCCGGGGAAACCCGGAUUAAUACCGCAUACGCCCUAUGGGGGAAAGCAGGGGAUCUUCGGACCUUGCACUAUUGGAUGAGCCUGCGUCGGAUUAGCUAGUUGGUGGGGUAAAGGCCUACCAAGGCGACGAUCCGUAGCUGGUCUGAGAGGAUGAUC